This 402-nucleotide ribosomal RNA is filed under the name uncultured bacterium. Its description in RNAcentral is "bacterial SSU rRNA". It matches the Rfam family "Bacterial small subunit ribosomal RNA", at positions 355 to 774 of the family's 1533-position model. The record is from RNAcentral.
UGGGGAAUAUUGGACAAUGGGGGAAACCCUGAUCCAGCAAUGCCGCGUGAGUGAAGAAGGCCUUAGGGUUGUAAAGCUCUUUCGCCCGCGAAGAUAAUGACGGUAGCGGGAGAAGAAGCCCCGGCUAACUCCGUGCCAGCAGCCGCGGUAAUACGGAGGGGGCUAGCGUUGUUCGGAAUUACUGGGCGUAAAGCGUACGUAGGCGGAUGCGCAAGUUGGGGGUGAAAUCCCGGGGCUUAACCUCGGAAUUGCCCUCAAAACUGCACGUCUUGAGACCGAGAGAGGUAAGGGGAAUUCCUAGUGUAGAGGUGAAAUUCGUAGAUAUUAGGAAGAACACCAGUGGCGAAGGCGGCUCUCUGGGCUGAACCUGACGCUCAGACGCGAAAGCUAGGGUAGCAAACG